GACGAACGCUGGCGGCGUGCUUAACACAUGCAAGUCGAACGGAAAGGCCUCUUUCGGGGGGUACUCGAGUGGCGAACGGGUGAGUAACACGUGAGUAACCUGCCCUUGACUUUGGGAUAACUUCAGGAAACUGGGGCUAAUACCGGACAGGAGCUCCUGCUGCAUGGUGGGGGUUGGAAAGUUUCGGCGGUUGGGGAUGGACUCGCGGCGUAUCAGCUUGUUGGUGGGGUAGUGGCUUACCAAGGCUUUGACGGGUAGCCGGCCUGAGAGGGUGACCGGCCACACUGGGACUGAGGUACGGCACAGACACCUACGGGAGGCAGCAGUGGGGAAGAUUGCACAAUGGGUGGAAGCCUGAUGCAGCAACGCCGUGUGCGGGAUGACGGCCUUCGGGUUGUAGACCGCUUUCGCUCAUGACGAAGCUUUGUGUGACGGUAGUGGGUAAAGAAGCACCGGCUAACUACGUG
Molecule: ribosomal RNA, 467 nt
Filed under: uncultured bacterium
Lineage: Bacteria
Description: partial 16S ribosomal RNA
Rfam family: Bacterial small subunit ribosomal RNA
Source: RNAcentral